GGAAUAUAGCUCAGAUGGUAGAGUGUUUGCUUUGCAUUCACAAGGCCCUGAGUUUGAUCCCCAGCACCA
RNAcentral lists this transfer RNA (69 nucleotides) under Marmota monax (woodchuck). Its description in RNAcentral is "tRNA.Ala". Lineage: Eukaryota; Metazoa; Chordata; Mammalia; Rodentia; Sciuridae. The record is from RNAcentral.